RNAcentral lists this ribosomal RNA (465 nucleotides) under uncultured Klebsiella sp. RNAcentral describes it as "bacterial SSU rRNA". It matches the Rfam family "Bacterial small subunit ribosomal RNA", at positions 338 to 795 of the family's 1533-position model. Lineage: Bacteria; Pseudomonadati; Pseudomonadota; Gammaproteobacteria; Enterobacterales; Enterobacteriaceae. The record is from RNAcentral.
CCUACGGGAGGCUGCAGUGGGGAAUAUUGCACAAUGGGCGCAAGCCUGAUGCAGCCAUGCCGCGUGUGUGAAGAAGGCCUUCGGGUUGUAAAGCACUUUCAGCGGGGAGGAAGGCGUUAAGGUUAAUAACCUUGUCGAUUGACGUUACCCGCAGAAGAAGCACCGGCUAACUCCGUGCCAGCAGCUGCGGUAAUACGGAGGGUGCAAGCGUUAAUCGGAAUUACUGGGCGUAAAGCGCACGCAGGCGGUCUGUCAAGUCGGAUGUGAAAUCCCCGGGCUCAACCUGGGAACUGCAUUCGAAACUGGCAGGCUAGAGUCUUGUAGAGGGGGGUAGAAUUCCAGGUGUAGCGGUGAAAUGCGUAGAGAUCUGGAGGAAUACCGGCGGCGAAGGCGGCCCCCUGGACAAAGACUGACGCUCAGGUGCGAAAGCGUGGGGAGCAAACAGGAUUAGAUACCCCUGUAGUC